RNAcentral lists this microRNA (24 nucleotides) under Homo sapiens (human). Its description in RNAcentral is "hsa-miR-2277-5p". The record is from miRBase by way of RNAcentral. Lineage: Eukaryota; Metazoa; Chordata; Mammalia; Primates; Hominidae.
AGCGCGGGCUGAGCGCUGCCAGUC